This is a long non-coding RNA of Nannospalax galili (Upper Galilee mountains blind mole rat), 2129 nucleotides long. RefSeq lists it as uncharacterized. The transcript is spliced from 2 exons. NCBI's taxonomy places the organism in Eukaryota, Metazoa, Chordata, Mammalia, Rodentia, Spalacidae. The record is from RefSeq and is a predicted model, not a curated record.
GGCAGGCCGCAGACCGAGUGUUCCAGCAGAGCUGCUCCCCUGGGUCCCGGCAGCUCCGGCCUCUGAGAUCUUGGCCGCCAGUAUAGCUCGGAGAAGAGUCUUUCUGAGUCCUCAGUGAUGAGCAGGAAAAGCUUUCUUCUUGUGCCUUUCAUCAUGGAGAACAAAUCGGCCAGAACACCUGGUGGUGGGAAACAUCAGACAAAAGCAUGUAGAAACUGUCAAACACGGUAAAUGCAAGGAAUUCACACAGGAACUUAAAAUCUAUGACAACUUUGCUCAAGCUAUGAGUGCUAUGAGUUCUGGUUCUGACUUCAAACUUUGAGAUUAACAAGGAUUAAGGCAUUGAGCAAUAGCUCUUUUUGAUUGGUUAAUUUCUUCAGGGACUGCCUAUUGGUUAUAUUUGCAUUUUCUUCUGAAAUCUCUAAAUUAGUUCAUGUUCCUUCAGUAGCACAGAACAGGCCUCAGUCAACACUGAUACUCUCAGGCAAAUGUGGAACACAUGGAAAAUUCUCAUAGGCUAUGGUAUAGAAGCCCACCUCAGAGAUGGGUGGCUUGCCACACUGUACCUGCAGCUGAAGGUUCAAAGAAACCAUUUGCUCAGUUCUGGGAUGUUUCCCAAAAGUGGAAGGUCUGCCAAGAAUCCACUCUUCACAAAGCCAAGCUAUUAGACUGGUUAAGUUCCUGGUGUCUUCCCAUGUGCCCAUCAAUGGACAGCAACCUACUGUUUGCUGGGACCAUUGGGUUUGGAUCAUGACUCCAUUAUUGGCCUUGUGGCCUGCAGGAGUUAAGCAAUUUAAAAAUGGAAUUGACAGCAGCUGUUUGUGGUGAAUUUUUUUUUUUUUUGAGAGAAGCCCUCCCAGGCCUCAAUCCUUUUGCCUCAUCCUCCUCCCUAGUGCUGGGAUUACAGGUGUGAGCCACUAUGUCUGCCUAUAACACAAUGUAUUUUCAAAGUUGAGGAAAAGCUAGGCCUGGUGGUACACACCUUUAAUUCUAGCACUUGGGAGGCAGAGGCAGGAGGAUCUCUGUGAGGUCAAGGCCAGCCUAGUCUACAUAGUGAGUUCCAGGCUAGCUGGGGCUGCAAGGAGACCAUCUCAAAAAGACAAAAAAAAUUAAAAGUUGAGGAAAAAAACAAACCAUACAUUAGUACAUAUAGACCAACUCAGAACAAUGCCAAAAUACAUAUCACAUUUAAAAGAUGUUAAGAUAUUUAGUGCCUUGGCCUGAAAUCAGUUGAUAUGAAUAUACAGUCCUCUACUGCUGGUUAGUAGGCCUAGUACACACAUCAAGAAUGAGCUGUUAGCAGGUAGAUAGGUGACUUAUGACAGUCUUAAGUGCUUAGGCAUACAUUAAACAGUUAUAGCUCCACAUUUCCAUUGAUUGGGAAGACAAGGCAAUUCCUCCUGCAUAUACUUUAUUCACACAUGCUAAGUCUUACUAAAAGUAUCAUACAGUCAGAGAAGAUGAUUGAGGGGCAGUUAGGUUUGUAAGGGUAAUCCUUGCUUCUGGCUUUGUUUUGAACCAAGGUAAAUAAACAGCCAGGAGCAAUACUGGAAUAAAAGGGUGACACGGGGACAAAGUGCAGUGUGGGAGGCAGCUCACAGUGAGGCAGGCAGGCAAGCAGGCAUGUUCUAGCCAAUCAACACUUUAUUUUUCCAGUUAACACCUACACAGAUGUUACUCUCUACUUACUGACCCUAGAAGAGAUCCCCACCAAGGCCCAGAGUAGUUUCCUUCUGCCUCUCUAGAUAGUAAGGAAGUCCCUCACUUCAAGACAGAGUGCAUGCUCACCAACCCCUGUGCUAGCAAAAGUGCUGUGGGACCCUGCUGUCCUGCAUCAUGAGGGCAAAAUUGGGCAAGGGUGCAGUGUAGGUUAGAGGCUACAGUGACCUAAGUACAGAACUUCUGGCCUGACCAGGUUUAUUCUUUAUUUUUCAGACCAGAAGCUACCCUAAAACCUGGCCAGAACCUGUAGGAAGAGAAGCUGGCAAAGGACAGGGAUUAGACUGCUAAGGACAGGACAUAGCAGGUAGAUAAAGCCAAGGGGAAUGUAGGACAGGAGAAUAAAAUUAUAAAGUGCCUGAACUAAACAACCAAGUGGGACAUGAGGACAGAGCAGCAUAGGUCCCUGA